Polistes canadensis is the source of this 758-nucleotide long non-coding RNA. RefSeq lists it as uncharacterized. The record is from RefSeq and is a predicted model, not a curated record. The transcript has 3 exons. Lineage: Eukaryota; Metazoa; Arthropoda; Insecta; Hymenoptera; Vespidae.
AAUACAGCGACAAUUUGUUGGUAAAAUGUUUUUCAAAGAAAAACUUUUCUAUUACAGAUAAUGCAGAACAAAAGAAUAUCGUUAUGGUAAAACAAUUGAAAGAGGACUAAUAAAUUUGGUAUAGUAAAUGCAGUUUUAUAAGCACAAUGUGUUUUACAUCAAAAAAGAAUGAUAUUUGUUAUACUUUUUGGAUUGUACUGCAUCGAUCAAUCCCAAUCCAUCUUUAAAUCAAUUUUAUGAUGCAUUUAUUUUUUAUACAUGUUCGCACAUGUAUAUAUGUGAUAUUUGAUUAUAUAUUGUUACCAAUGAAAUAAUAUUAUUCAAAAUAUGUAAUAGAUUUGUUAUUUUCACAAGUGGACAUUAUGCAUAUAUAAUAAUUAUGCUUCAAUUAAUAAAACCCCAUAAUGCAUACAAAAAGAAACUAACGGAUAAGAUAUAAAAAGAAAAUCAAUAAAAGGUAUUACAAACAAAAGACUACAUUUGUAAGUAUUGAAAAAUGCAUGAUUCUAUUUUAAAAAAAUUAUCACAAACUUUGCAUCUUCUACGUAUUAUCAUCUAAUAAAAAAUCAAACAACUUGUACAUCAAACAUUUCAUCAUAUCAUCAAUAUUGUAAGAAUUAUACAUGUGGCCAAUUUUAAAUGAAUAAUUGGAACUAAUUAAAUUCUUAAAAUUGCAGGAACAUGAUCAGAUUUUGUCUCUUAUUAAUUACUUCUUAAUUAUUUAUGUUAUUUCAUAUUAUUAUUUUACAAGUAUUGCA